Molecule: ribosomal RNA, 503 nt
Filed under: uncultured bacterium
Lineage: Bacteria
Description: partial 16S ribosomal RNA
Rfam family: Bacterial small subunit ribosomal RNA
Source: RNAcentral
AUUGAACGCUGGCGGCAGGCUUAACACAUGCAAGUCGAGCGGGGUGAUGGUGCUUGCACUAUCACUUAGCGGCGGACGGGUGAGUAAUGCUUAGGAAUCUGCCUAUUAGUGGGGGACAACAUCUCGAAAGGGAUGCUAAUACCGCAUACGUCCUACGGGAGAAAGCAGGGGAUCACUUGUGACCUUGCGCUAAUAGAUGAGCCAAUGUCGGAUUAGCUAGUUGGUGGGGUAAAGGCCUACCAAGGCGACGAUCUGUAGCGGGUCUGAGAGGAUGAUCCGCCACACUGGGACUGAGAAACGGCCCAGACUCCUACGGGAGGCAGCAGUGGGGAAUAUUGGACAAUGGGGGGAACCCUGAUCCAGCCAUGCCGCGUGUGUGAAGAAGGCCUUAUGGUUGUAAAGCACUUUAAGCGAGGAGGAGGCUCUUUUGGUUAAUACCCAAGAUGAGUGGACGUUACUCGCAGAAUAAGCACCGGCUAACUCUGUGCCAGCCGCCGCGGUAA